CAAAGGGGAGAGAAGGUCCUGCUGUCUAUGGGCAAGCCUGAGCACAGAGGCUGCUCUGCUGGUGGGGGUGGGGUCACUUCUCUCAGCCCCAGACUGUCAGCUCUCAGGAUUAUCCACCUCGGCUCCUGGUUGCAGCAACUGCUGUGGCAGUAUGUGGAGCGAGCACCUCUGGCUCCCAACUUCUCCUGACUGAGCUGGCCACUCGCUUCCUUCUCCUCUGUGCCUCAGGCGCUUGCUGAGACUUCUCUGUUGGACUCUAGUGCUCUCUCCUGGAUGUUCUAUUCGAGGUGUGCUUAUCUCUUCAUAAUUUUGGGUCUUCUUUCUGGAGAGGCUCUGCCGCACUAAGCUCUCUACAUGGCCGAGGCACCAGACCAGAAUGCGCCCUUUCGACAGGCAGAGAGAGCCAAAGGGGAAAAGAGCUGAGUCAAGGCUGCCAAGUUCCUGCUUCCAGCCCUACCAGCCGGUCACUCGCGCCUUGCAAUGAGGAAACCAGGAGUCCUAUCUAGGUCUCACUGUGUCCUCCAGGCUGGAGUGCAGUGGCAUGAUGACAGCUCAAAGCAGCCUCAACCUCCCAGGCUCAAGUGAUCCUCCUACCUCAGCCUCCUGAGUUCCUGAGUAGCUGGGACUGCAGGCAAGCACUACCAUACCCCGCUAAUUUUUUAAAAAAGUUUUUUGCCAGGCGCAGUGGCUCACGCCUGUAAUCCCAGCACUUUGGGAGUCCAAGGUGGGCGGAUCACGAGGUCAGGAGUUCGAGACCAGCCUGACCAACAUGAUGAAACCCCAUCUCUACUAAAAAUACAAAAAUUAGCCAGGUGUGGUGGUGCGCACCUGUAAUCUCAGCUACUCAGGAGGCAGAGGCAGGAGAAUCACUUGAACCUGGGAGGCGGAGGUUGCAGAGAGCUGAGAUUGCUCCACUGCACUCCAGCCUGGGCAAAG
This 936-nucleotide long non-coding RNA is filed under the name Homo sapiens (human). Its description in RNAcentral is "HSALNT0376385". Lineage: Eukaryota; Metazoa; Chordata; Mammalia; Primates; Hominidae. The record is from RNAcentral.